GACGAACGCUGGCGGCGUGCUUAACACAUGCAAGUCGAACGGAAAGGCCCUGCUUUUGUGGGGUGCUCGAGUGGCGAACGGGUGAGUAACACGUAAGUAACCUGCCCUUGACUUUGGGAUAACUUCAGGAAACUGGGGCUAAUACCGGAUAGGAGCUCCUGCUGCAUGGUGGGGGUUGGAAAGUUUCGGCGGUUGGGGAUGGACUCGCGGCUUAUCAGCUUGUUGGUGGGGUAGUGGCUUACCAAGGCUUUGACGGGUAGCCGGCCUGAGAGGGUGACCGGCCACAUUGGGACUGAGAUACGGCCCAGACUCCUACGGGAGGCAGCAGUGGGGAAUAUUGCAUAAUGGGCGGAAGCCUGAUGCAGCAACGCCGCGUGCGGGAUGACGGCCUUCGGGUUGUAAACCGCUUUCGCCUGUGACGAAGCGUGAGUGACGGUAAUGGGUAAAGAAGCACCGGCUAACUACGUG
This 468-nucleotide ribosomal RNA is filed under the name uncultured bacterium. Its description in RNAcentral is "partial 16S ribosomal RNA". It matches the Rfam family "Bacterial small subunit ribosomal RNA", at positions 28 to 507 of the family's 1533-position model. The record is from RNAcentral.